CUAUGGGUGCUAGAGGGUCAGCGGGC
RNAcentral lists this non-coding RNA (26 nucleotides) under Cricetulus griseus (Chinese hamster). Lineage: Eukaryota; Metazoa; Chordata; Mammalia; Rodentia; Cricetidae. The record is from RNAcentral.